Molecule: ribosomal RNA, 406 nt
Filed under: uncultured bacterium
Lineage: Bacteria
Description: partial 16S ribosomal RNA
Rfam family: Bacterial small subunit ribosomal RNA
Source: RNAcentral
AUUGAACGCUGGCGGCAGGCCUAACACAUGCAAGUCGAACGAGUGGCGGACGGGUGAGUAAUGUCUGGGAAACCGCCUGAUGGAGGGGGAUAACUACUGGAAACGGUAGCUAAUACCGCAUACCAUCAGAUGUGCCCAGAUGGGAAUAGAUAGUUGGUGGGGUAACGGCACACCAAGGCGACGAUCCAUAGUUGGUCGGAGAGGAUGACAAGCCACACUGGAAAUGAGACACGGUCCCGACUCCUACGGGAGGCAGCAGUGGGGAAUAUUGAACAAUGGGCGCAAGCCUGAUGCAGCCAGGCCGAGUGUAUGAAGAAGGCCUUCGGGUUGUAAAGUACUUUCAGCGGGGAGGCGUUACCCGCAGAAGAAGCACCGGCUAACUCCGUGCCAGCAGCCGCGGUAAUUC